GAUGAACGCUGGCGGCGUGCCUAAUACAUGCAAGUCGAGCGAACAGACGGGGAGCUUGCUCCUCUGACGUUAGCGGCGGACGGGUGAGUAACACGUGGAUAACCUACCUAUAAGACUGGGAUAACUUCGGGAAACCGGAGCUAAUACCGGAUAACAUGUUGAACCGCAUGGUUCAACAGUGAAAGACGGUUUUGCUGUCACUUAUAGAUGGAUCCGCGUCGCAUUAGCUAGUUGGUAAGGUAACGGCUUACCAAGGCAACGAUGCGUAGCCGACCUGAGAGGGUGAUCGGCCACACUGGAACUGAGACACGGUCCAGACUCCUACGGGAGGCAGCAGUAGGGAAUCUUCCGCAAUGGGCGAAAGCCUGACGGAGCAACGCCGCGUGAGUGAAGAAGGUCUUCGGAUCGUAAAACUCUGUUAUUAGGGAAGAACAAAUGUGUAAGUAACUAUGCACGUCUUGACGGUACCUAAUCAGAAAGCCACGGCUAACUACGUG
This 497-nucleotide ribosomal RNA is filed under the name uncultured bacterium. Its description in RNAcentral is "partial 16S ribosomal RNA". It matches the Rfam family "Bacterial small subunit ribosomal RNA", at positions 28 to 507 of the family's 1533-position model. The record is from RNAcentral.